Molecule: ribosomal RNA, 1471 nt
Filed under: uncultured Bordetella sp.
Lineage: Bacteria; Pseudomonadati; Pseudomonadota; Betaproteobacteria; Burkholderiales; Alcaligenaceae
Description: partial 16S-23S ribosomal RNA intergenic spacer
Rfam family: Bacterial small subunit ribosomal RNA
Source: RNAcentral
AGUUCGAUUAUGGUCAGAUUGAACGCUGGCGGGAUGCUUUACAUGCAAGUCGAACGGCAGCACUGACCAUUCGUGGCGAGCGGGCGAACGGGUGAGUAAUGUAUCGGAACGUGCCUAGUAGGGGGAUAACUACGCGAAAGCGUAGCUAAUACCGCAUACUGCCCUUCGGGGGAAAGCUGGGACCUUUCGGGCCCCGCACUAUUAGAGCGGCCGAUAUCGGAUUAGCUAGUUGGUGGGGUAACGUCACCACAUGAUUGAUCCGUAGCUGGUUUGAGAGGACGCAUUCAGCCACACUGGGACUGAGACACGGCCCAGACUCCUACGGGAGGCAGCAGUGGGGAAUUUUGACAAUGGGGGAACCUGAUCUGCUCAACCGCGUGUUGAUGAAGGCCUUCGGGUUGUAAAGCACUUUUGGCAGUGAAAGAAACGGCACGUGAUAAUACCCGUGCAACUGACGGUACCUGCAGAAUAAGCACCGGCUAACUACGUGCCAGCAGCCGCGGUAAUACGUAGGGUGCGUUAAUCGGAAUUACUGGGCGUAAAGGUGCGUGCAGGCGGUUCGGAAAGAAAGAUGUGAAAUCCCAGAGCUUAACUUUGGAACUGCAUUUUUAACUACCGAGCUAGAGUGUCAGAGGGAGGUGGAAUUCCGCGUGUAGCAGUGAAAUGCGUAGAUAUGCGGAGGAACACCACGGCGAAGGCAGCCUCCUGGGAUAACACUGACGCUCAUGCACGAAAGCGUGGGGAGCAAACAGGAUUAGAUACCCCGGUAGUCCACGCCCUAAACGAUGUCAACUAGCUGUUGGGGCCUUCGGGCUCGGUAGCGCAGCUAACGCGUGAAGUUGACCGCCUGGGGAGUACGGUCGUAAGAUUAAAACUCAAAGGAAUUGACGGGGACCCGCACAAGCGGUGGAUGAUGUGGAUUAAUUCGAUGCAACGCGAAAACCUUACCUACCCUUGACAUGUCUGGAAUCCCGAAGAGAUUUGGGAGUGCUCGCAAGAGAACCGGAACACAGGUGCUGCAAGGGCUGUCGUCAGCCGUGUCGUGAGAUGUUGGGUUAAGUCCCGCAACGAGCGCAAACCCUUGUCAUUGGUUAAGCAUGAAAGGGUGACUCCAUCGAGACUGCCGGUGACAAACCGAGGAAGGUGGGGAUGACGUCAAGUCCUCAUGGCCCUUGCAGGGUAGGGCCCCACACGUCAUACAAUGAAAUGGGACAGAGGGUCGCCAACCCGCGAGGGGGAGCCAAUCCCAGAACCUGAUCGUAGUCCGGAUCGCAGUCUGCAACUCGACUUGCGUGAAGUCGGAAUCGUUAGUAAUCGCGGAUCAGCAUGUCGCGUGAAUACGUUCCCGGGUCUUGUACACACCGCCCGUCACACCAUGGGAGUGGGUUUUACCAGAAGUAGUUAGCCUAACCGUAAGGAGGCGAUUACCACGGUAGGAUUCAUGACUGGGGGUGAAGUCGUAACAAGGUAG